Molecule: ribosomal RNA, 492 nt
Filed under: uncultured bacterium
Lineage: Bacteria
Description: partial 16S ribosomal RNA
Rfam family: Bacterial small subunit ribosomal RNA
Source: RNAcentral
AGUGAACGCUGGCGGUAGGCCUAACACAUGCAAGUCGAACGGCAGCACAGUAAGAGCUUGCUCUUACGGGUGGCGAGUGGCGGACGGGUGAGGCAUACAUCGGAAUCUACUUUUUCGUGGGGGAUAACGUAGGGAAACUUACGCUAAUACCGCAUACGACCUACGGGUGAAAGCAGGGGAUCUUCGGACCUUGCGCGAUUGAAUGAGCCGAUGUCGGAUUAGCUAGUAGGCGGGGUAAAGGCCCACCAAGGCGACGAUCCGUAGCUGGUCUGAGAGGAUGAUCAGCCACACUGGAACUGAGGCACGGUCCAGACUCCUACGGGAGGCAGCAGUGGGGAAUAUUGGACAAUGGGCGCAAGCCUGAUCCAGCCAUACCGCGUGGGUGAAGAAGGCCUUCGGGUCGUAAAGCCCUUUUGUUGGGAAAGAAAAGCAGCAGGUUAAUACCCCGCUGUUCUGACGGUACCCAAAGAAUAAGCACCGGCUAACUUCGUG